CGUAGGGGGCAAGCGUUGUCCGGAUUUAUUGGGCGUAAAGAGCGUGUAGGCGGCCAGGUAGGUCGGUUGUGAAAACUCGAGGCUCAACCUCGAGAUGUCGACCGAAACCAUCUGGCUAGAGUCCGGAAGAGGAGAAUGGAAUUCCCGGUGUAGCGGUGAAAUGCGCAGAUAUCGGGAAGAACACCCGUGGCGAAGGCGGUUCUCUGGGACGGUACUGACGCUGAGACGCGAAAGCGUGGGGAGCGAACGGGAUUAGAUACCCUGGUAGUCCACGCCGUAAACGAUGGGAACUAGGUGUGGGCGGUGUCGACUCCGCCCGUGCCGAAGCUAACGCAUUAAGUUCCCCGCCUGGGGAGUACGGCCACAAGGCUA
Molecule: ribosomal RNA, 372 nt
Filed under: uncultured organism
Description: bacterial SSU rRNA
Rfam family: Bacterial small subunit ribosomal RNA
Source: RNAcentral